This is a long non-coding RNA of Amphiprion ocellaris (clown anemonefish), 834 nucleotides long. RefSeq lists it as uncharacterized. The record is from RefSeq and is a predicted model, not a curated record. Lineage: Eukaryota; Metazoa; Chordata; Actinopteri; Pomacentridae. The transcript has 4 exons.
GUCGAGGGAGAUCCUUUUACGAUGGUGGAAAAGCUAACGCGACAGUAGCAGCCUUUUGUGGAGAAAUUCGGAGAUUUGAUAUUGAGAGAUUCAAGGCUGUGAACCCUUGUGAGCUGGAAUUCCCCUUGCUGCGUGUGGUGCUUAGCAUGGUCGGGUUUUUUUUUGGAUUGGAUUUGGAAAUCUUGAGAAGAACCAAGGAUCAACUUCCAGUACUGGAUGUUACCACAAGUUCAAAAGAUGCCUUCAUAAACCCAAGAAAAGAAAGCCUUGUGUGUGGAGUAUCUUUUGAUGGUUCGCUGGCUGUCUAGCAGUACAGUUACCUGUUGUGAGGACAGCACACCUGCCUUCGCCCUAAGUCAGCUGGGAUAGGCUCCAGCCCCUCCCACGACCCGAAUGAGGAUUAAGCGGUGUACAGAAGAUGGAUGGAUGGAUAUCUGCGAUAUAUAUCCAGUCUGGCAAGUAAAUGUUAAAACUGUUCACCUCCUGCUUUUUUUUUUUUUUUUUUUUUUAGCUUCUGACGUGUGCAACAUCAUUUCAGCUUGUUAAAACAAUAAUUCAGGUACAUUUUAACUACUUAUAAUUCAGUUUGAGACAUCUACAUCAUGGCGUUCUGACAAGUUCAAACUUAAGAUAUACAUAUAGACAAAAAGAACUAUGUUAAUAUAUUGAAUUAACCCUUCAAUGCACGAAUGAUUGGACCCUACACUAUUCCAUAAAUGGGUCACAUAUAACUCAUAUAAAAGUCUAUGUGUUUUUAUGCCAUUUUUGUCAUUUUGGUCAUUAUAUUUUUGUCCACACAAAAAUGAUUUCAUGUUUGAAGUAUGUUUAUUUUUC